Bufo bufo (common toad) is the source of this 1285-nucleotide long non-coding RNA. RefSeq lists it as uncharacterized. The transcript is spliced from 2 exons. The record is from RefSeq and is a predicted model, not a curated record. NCBI's taxonomy places the organism in Eukaryota, Metazoa, Chordata, Amphibia, Anura, Bufonidae.
AUAGCUUUUUAUUACAUUCAGAAAACCAUCACAUAACAAUAAAAUAUAUUUGUACAGACAGCAAUAUAGCUAUAUACUGCAUAAUGUAGGUUUAGGAAUGCCACAUUUGCUCCUUGUUAGUAUGUAAAGAGAAAAACAUUAGUACUUUAUGAAAAUUAGUUUGGAGCCAUUGAUCACUUUAACCUUACUUUCCUUAGUAGUUAAAAUUUGUCUUGUUCUUUUGUAUGUGGGUGGCUGUAUAGCACUGGGAAUUGGCUGCAUAUCACUAGGAAAUGCCAUCACUUUCUGAUCAGUGGGGUCAAUCGGCCAAGAACCCCCGCCGAGACCCAGACUGCCGGGACUCCUAUUAAUCCUCUAAGUCUUCUCACCAUUUCUGCGUGCACUGCACCACACCUACCCACUUACUGUUUUUGCCUGUACCGCACCACACCUACUGUACCCACCUACUGUGCAGUAAAAAUGCAGCUCGGCCCCAUUGAUACUGUAUAGAUAUAUUCACACUCUUAUCUUCAUUUGUAAAACUAUGCAAGUUUGUUAAGGGGUUAUUUCUAUCUAGACAUUUAUGGGAUAUAGCUGUAGGUCCCUUUUCAUCUCAUGGCAUACAUGGCUCUCUUCAUUCAUUUCUAUGGGGGUUCCAAAAAUAGCCACGGAAGCAUGCUUGACUAUGUGCGGGCUCCACCACAAGGAAUGUGUGGCUUUCUCCAUUUAUUUGUAUGGGUAUUCCCCCCUCCAAAAAAUGGAAGCACGCUUGACUAUGUGUGGUCCCCUGUCCAUUUGCUGUGCUUGUGAGAUGGGGCCCUGUUCUUCACCUCUUGGACAUGCACCUAUCUCAAGAAAAGGUCCCCAUCUUAAGGAAUGCACGACUCUCUCCAUUCAUUUCUAUGGAUGUUCCAAAAAUGUCCAUGGAAGCAUGCUUGGCUGUUGUUGGAACUGCCAUAGAAGUGAAUGGAGAGACCUACAUAUCCACGGCCACCUCUCCAUUUUCAGCAGCUGUGAGACAGGACCCUGUUCUCUACCUCUUGGACCAGCACCUUUUGAACAUUUUAUGGCAUAUUCUGUGGAUAUGCCAUAAAUGUCCAGAAGGGACAUGGGACUAUUAUCUGACUGAUUAUCAAAAAAAGAACUUUCUUACGAAUGCUCGUUCCCAAUAAUCGGCCUGGGUAAAGAUGCUGUCAAUCACCCUAUGAACAAGCAGGCACUCGUACAUCAGGUGAAUUCAUUGUUUAUGCUGAUAUAUAAGGCCAGUUUUUACACAUUCUGUUUGGUCAGUUAUUUCCAUCAGUAA